UCCGUAGGCGGGCUAAUAAGUCAGAGGUGAAAUCCCACAGCUUAACUGUGGAACUGCCUUAGAUACUGGUUAUCUUGAGUUUUAGUGAAGUAGAUAGAAUGUGUAGUGUAGCGGUGAAAUGCAUAGAUAUUACACAGAAUACCGAUUGCGAAGGCAGUCUACUAACUAACAACUGACGCUAAUGGACGAAAGCGUGGGGAGCGAACAGGAUUAGAUACCCUGGUAGUCC
RNAcentral lists this ribosomal RNA (229 nucleotides) under uncultured bacterium. RNAcentral describes it as "partial 16S ribosomal RNA". It matches the Rfam family "Bacterial small subunit ribosomal RNA", at positions 568 to 796 of the family's 1533-position model. The record is from RNAcentral.